RNAcentral lists this unclassified non-coding RNA (161 nucleotides) under uncultured Hypoxylon. Its description in RNAcentral is "sequence contains ITS2". The record is from RNAcentral. Lineage: Eukaryota; Fungi; Ascomycota; Sordariomycetes; Xylariales; Xylariaceae.
CAACCCUUAAGCCCUAGUUGCUUAGCGUUGGGACUCUGAGCCUUUACGGCCCAGUUCCUUAAAGUUAGUGGCGGAGUUAUAGCACACUCUCAGCGUAGUAAUUUCUAUCUCGCUUUUGUGGUGGCUGUGGCGACUUGCCGUAAAACCCCUAAUUAUCUAGU